Chlorocebus sabaeus (green monkey) is the source of this 131-nucleotide non-coding RNA. The record is from RefSeq and is a predicted model, not a curated record. Lineage: Eukaryota; Metazoa; Chordata; Mammalia; Primates; Cercopithecidae.
UGAGAAUAUAAGUGACGAGGAGACUCAUCCAGUUUGUCCUGAGGAUGGCCUGUUUUUAAGAGGCUCACCACAACGCAAAGAUGAAGAAGAAGAGAAAGAAGAUGCUAAUGAUAAUAAUGAUGUCCAGGUAA